This 380-nucleotide long non-coding RNA is filed under the name Gallus gallus (chicken). Lineage: Eukaryota; Metazoa; Chordata; Aves; Galliformes; Phasianidae. The record is from RNAcentral.
GAGGAGCCCAUGCAGCCAAGAGUGCAGAGUGCCAGCCCCUGCACAUAUUGCGUGCUGUGGUUAAGGUCGUUCUUGAUGCAAUUGGUCAUAAGAAGAUGGACAUCCUGUCUCUCAUCCAGCAGCAACAUGGCACCUAAAUACCCAAUGCGCUUGUCUGUGAAUUUCUGAGAGGCAAUGAGCUUGAGGCACUCCAACUGUCCAAAAUGUGCAGGGUAUCCCAGCAUGUGCAUAUACAGCAGCUUUGCCACAUUUCUGCAUCUGUAUGUGUUAUCUUCCUCUCGGAAGGAUGACCGGAUAGCAGCACAUUCCUUUUGAAUCAUCUCACGCUCUUCUGCCUGGGUUCUUGCUGUCCGGAUGGUCCGGAUCAGCUCCCGCAGUCU